GUGGACUCUCAAGCGUGAGGUAAGGGCAUCUGGUGAAUGCCUUGGCAUGUACAGGCGAUGAAGGACGUGGCACGCUGCGAUAAGCGUGGGGGAGCUGUGAGCAAGCUUUGAUCCCGCGAUUUCCGAAUGGGACAACCCACCUUCACCAUUUAAGGCUGCACCCGAGCGAUCGGGCACAGCGUUAAAUGGGAGAGGUAUCACUAAGCUGAAUAAAAUAGGCUUUGGUGAAGCGAACCCGGAGAACUGAAACAUCUCAGUACCCGGAGGAAAAGACAUCAACCGAGAUUCCGUUAGUAGUGGCGAGCGAACGCGGACCAGGCCAGCGCCUGGUGCUUAAUUAGCAGAACGAUCUGGAAAGUUCGGCCAUAGCGGGUGACAGCCCCGUAUGCGAAAAUGAAGCAUCAGGACUUGAGUAGGGCGGAGCACGUGAAACUCUGUCUGAACAUGGGGGGACCACCCUCCAAGCCUAAAUACUCGUACAUGACCGAUAGCGAACCAGUACCGUGAGGGAAAGGUGAAAAGCACCCCGAUGAGGGGAGUGAAACAGUACCUGAAACCGGAUGCCUACAAGCAGUGGGAGGGUCCUUGAGACCUGACCGCGUACCUCUUGCAUAAUGGGUCUGUGACUUAGUGUAUCGAGCAAGCUUAAGCCGUUAGGUGUAGGCGCAGCGAAAGCGAGUCUGAACAGGGCGUUUGAGUUCGAUGCAUUAGACCCGAAACCCGGCGAUCUAGGCAUGACCAGGCUGAAGGUGCGGUAACACGCACUGGAGGGCCGAACCGUUUAAUGUUGAAAAAUUAUCGGAUGAGUUGUGUUUAGGGGUGAAAGGCCAAUCAAGCCGGGAAAUAGCUGGUUCUCCGCGAAAUCUAUUGAGGUAGAGCGUCGGAUGAUUGCCGUUGGGGGUAGAGCACUGGAUGGUUGCGGGGGUCGCGAGAUCUACCAAUACUAACCAAACUCCGAAUACCAACGAGUCUAGUCCGGCAGACAGACGGCGGGUGCUAAGGUCCGUCGUCAAAAGGGAAACAGCCCUAACCUACAGCUAAGGUCCCCAAGUCACGUCUAAGUGGGAAAGCAUGUGGGAUUUCCAAAACAACCAGGAGGUUGGCUUAGAAGCAGCCAUCCUUUAAAGAAAGCGUAACAGCUCACUGGUCUAAACAAGAGAUCCUGCGGCGAAGAUGUAACGGGGCUCAAGACGUGCACCGAAGCUUAGGGUUCAGUCUUUUGACUGAGCGGUAGCGGAGCGUUCCGUAGGCCGUUGAAGCGGGAGGGUAACCGACCGUGGAGGUAUCGGAAGUGCGAAUGCAGACAUGAGUAGCGAUUAACAGUGUGAGAUGCACUGUCGCCGAAAUUCCAAGGGUUCCUGCUUAAAGCUAAUCUGAGCAGGGUAAGCCGGCCCCUAAGACGAGCCCGAAGGGGGUAGUCGAUGGGAACCACGUUAAUAUUCGUGGGCCUGGUGGUGUGUGACGGAUGGCGUAACUUGUUCGGCCUUAUUGGAUUGGUCCGGGCAGGGAAGUUGUCCCAGGAAAUAGCCCCACCGUAUAGACCGUACCCUAAACCGACACAGGUGGAAUGGUAGAGUAUACCAAGGCGUUUGAGAGAAGUAUCCUGAAGGAACUCGGCAAAUUGCCUCCGUACCUUCGGAAGAAGGAGGCCCCACAUAUGCGCAAGCACUUGUGGGGGGCACAGGCCAGGGGGUAGCGACUGUUUAGCAAAAACACAGGGCUCUGCUAAGUCGGCUUCAAGACGACGUAUAGGGCCUGACGCCUGCCCGGUGCCUGAAGGUUAAGAGGAGGAGUGCAAGCUCUGAAUUGAAGCCCAGGUAAACGGCGGCCGUAACUAUAACGGUCCUAAGGUAGCGAAAUUCCUUGUCGGGUAAGUUCCGACCUGCACGAAUGGCGUAACGACUUCCCCACUGUCUCCAGGAUAUGCUCAGCGAAAUUGAAUUCUCCGUGAAGAUGCGGAGUACCCGCGGUUAGACGGAAAGACCCCGUGCACCUUUACUGCAGCUUCAGAGUGGCAUUAGGAAAGAACUGUGUAGCAUAGGUGGGAGGCUUUGAAGCGAUGACGCCAGUUGUCGUGGAGCCAUAGGUGAAAUACCACCCUGUUGUUUUCUGAUGUCUAACCUCGCACCGUUAUCCGGUGCAGGGACCCUCUGUGGCGGGUAGUUUGACUGGGGCGGUCGCCUCCUAAAGAGUAACGGAGGCGCGCGAUGGUGGGCUCAGGACGGUUGGAAACCGUCUGUUAGAGUGCAAUGGCAUAAGCCCGCCUGACUGCGAGACUGACAAGUCGAGCAGAGACGAAAGUCGGUCAUAGUGAUCCGGUGGUCCCUCGUGGAAGGGCCAUCGCUCAACGGAUAAAAGGUACGCCGGGGAUAACAGGCUGAUGAUUCCCAAGAGCUCAUAUCGACGGAAUCGUUUGGCACCUCGAUGUCGGCUCAUCACAUCCUGGGGCUGGAGCAGGUCCCAAGGGUUUGGCUGUUCGCCAAUUAAAGUGGUACGUGAGCUGGGUUCAGAACGUCGCGAGACAGUUUGGUCCCUAUCUGCCGUGGGCGUCGAAAUUUGAGAGGAGUUGACCCUAGUACGAGAGGACCGGGUUGAACAUGCCUCUGGUGUACCUGUCGUCCUGCCAAGGGCGCAGCAGGGUAGCUAUGCAUGGACGGGAUAACCGCUGAAAGCAUCUAAGCGGGAAGCCUCCCUCAAGAUAAGAUUUCUUCGAGCGGUCGUAGACCACGACCUUGAUAGGCCGGAUGUAGAAGUGUGGUAACAUAUGGAGCUAACCGGUCCUAAUUGCUCUGAUCGCGCCUGA
This 2803-nucleotide ribosomal RNA is filed under the name Sphingobium fuliginis ATCC 27551. RNAcentral describes it as "23S ribosomal RNA". It matches the Rfam family "Bacterial large subunit ribosomal RNA". The record is from RNAcentral. Lineage: Bacteria; Pseudomonadati; Pseudomonadota; Alphaproteobacteria; Sphingomonadales; Sphingobiaceae.